Molecule: ribosomal RNA, 1371 nt
Filed under: Zygaena algira algira
Lineage: Eukaryota; Metazoa; Arthropoda; Insecta; Lepidoptera; Zygaenidae
Description: 16S ribosomal RNA
Source: RNAcentral
UUAAAUAAAAAAUUAAUAAAAUAAUAGUAAUAAAAGAAAUUUUAAGAUAAUUUUUGUUUUAGUAUUUUUUAUAGAAAAAAUUAUAAAAUUUAUAGUAAAUAAGUAUAGUAAUAGAAUUUUGAAAUAAUUGAAAAAUUUAUUUUUUAGAAAGUAGAUUUAAAUUAUUGUAUCUUGUGUAUCAGAGUUUAUUAAAAAAAAUUUUUAAAUAAAAAUUUCUCGAAUUAAAAAGAGUUAUUAAAUUAUAAAAAUUAUUGUUUCAAAAAUAUUUUUAAUAAUUUAAUUGAAAUGAAAUGUUAAUCGUUUUUUAAGAUAUCUAGUUUUUUUAGAAAUAAAUUUAAUUUAAAAUUUUGAAUAUUAAAUAAUUUAUUAAAUAAUUAUUUAAUUUAAAAUUUAAAUAUUUUAAGGGAUAAGCUUUAAAAUAAAUUUUUAUAAGAAAAAUUAAUUAAAAUUAAGAAUUUUAUAAUUUAUAUUGUUAAAUAAAUUAUAGUUUAUUAUAAAUAAUUUUAUUUAAUAGAGAAAAAUUUAAAUAAUUUCUUUAAUUUUUUAUAAAAAAAAAUUUUUUAAUAAUAUAUUUUUAGUUAUAAUGAUAAAAUUAGUAUAUAAAUAUAUUUAAAUUAAAAUAUGAGUUAAAUUAUAGUUAAUUAAAAAGAAUUCGGCAAAAUUAAUUUAAUUAUAUUCACCUGUUUAUCAAAAACAUGUCUUUUUGUUAAUAAUUUAAAGUCUAAUCUGCCCACUGAUUUUUUUUAAAGGGCUGCAGUAUUUUGACUGUACAAAGGUAGCAUAAUCAUUAGUCUCUUAAUUGGUGACUUGUAUGAAUGAUUGGAUGAGAUAUAAACUGUUUCUUAAUUAUUUAUAAAAUUUAAUUUUUUUAUUAAAAAGUAAAAAUAAAUUUAAAAGACGAGAAGACCCCGUAGAGUUUUAUAUAAUAAUUAAUUAAGAAAUUAUAUUUAAGAAUUUAAUUAAAAUUAUUUAUUAUAUUUUAUUGGGGUGAUAAAAAAAUUAAAAAAACUUUUUUAAAAAUUUUCCAUUGAUAAGUGAAUUUUUGAUCCAUUAUUAUUGAUUAAAAGAAAAAAUUACCUUGGGGAUAACAGCGUAAUUUUUCUUUUUAGUUCAAAUAAGAAGAAGAGUUUGCGACCUCGAUGUUGGAUUAAGAUAAAAUUUAAAUGCAAAAGUUUAAAAUUUUGAUCUGUUCGAUCAUUAAAAUCUUACAUGAUCUGAGUUCAAACCGGUGUAAGCCAGGUUGGUUUCUAUCUUUAAAUAAAUAAAAUAUUUUAGUACGAAAGGAUCAAAUAUUUAAAAUAAUUUUUAUUAAUAGAAUAUUAUUAAUCUUAUUUAUAAAAAAAAAUUAUUUAAUAUAAAUUAAUUUAUUAU